This 253-nucleotide ribosomal RNA is filed under the name uncultured bacterium. RNAcentral describes it as "partial 16S ribosomal RNA". It matches the Rfam family "Bacterial small subunit ribosomal RNA", at positions 524 to 776 of the family's 1533-position model. The record is from RNAcentral.
UACGGAGGGAGCUAGCGUUGUUCGGAAUUACUGGGCGUAAAGCGCACGUAGGCGGCUUUGUAAGUUAGAGGUGAAAUCCCCGAGCUCAACUCGGGAACUGCGUCCGAUACUGGCGGGCUUGAAUCCGGGAGAGGGAUGCGGAAUUCCAGGUGUAGCGGUGAAAUGCGUAGAUAUCUGGAGGAACACCUAUGGCGAAGGCAGCUCGCUGGGACGUUACUGACGCUGAGACGCGAAAGCGUGGGGAGCAAACAGG